UACGUAGGGUGCGAGCGUUGUCCGGAAUUAUUGGGCGUAAAGGGCUCGUAGGCGGUUUGUCGCGUCGGGAGUGAAAUCCACUGGCUUAACUGGUGGCUUGCUUUCGAUACGGGCAGACUGGAGGUAUGCAGGGGAGAACGGAACUCCUGGUGUAGCGGUGAAAUGCGCAGAUAUCAGGAGGAACACCGAUGGCGAAGGCAGGUCUCUGGGCCACUACUGACGCUGAGAAGCGAAAGCAUGGGGAGCGAACAGG
This 253-nucleotide ribosomal RNA is filed under the name uncultured bacterium. Its description in RNAcentral is "partial 16S ribosomal RNA". It matches the Rfam family "Bacterial small subunit ribosomal RNA", at positions 524 to 776 of the family's 1533-position model. The record is from RNAcentral.